AUGCCUAACACAUGCAAGUCGAACGAAGUUCUUGAACCUAGUGGCGGACGGGUGAGUAACGCGUGAGACUCUGCCUUCAGGACGGGGACAACAGUUGGAAACGACUGCUAAUACCGGAUAUGCCGCAAGGGGAAAAUAGUUCGCCUGAAGAGGAGCUCGCGUCUGAUUAGCUAGUUGGUGGGGUAAGAGCCUACCAAGGCGACGAUCAGUAGCUGGUCUGAGAGGAUGAGCAGCCACGCUGGGACUGAGACACGGCCCAGACUCCUACGGGAGGCAGCAGUGGGGAAUUUUCCGCAAUGGGCGAAAGCCUGACGGAGCAAUACCGCGUGAGGAAGGAAGGCUCUGGGGUGGUAAACUUCUUUUCUCAGGGAAGAAGACCUGACGGAACCUGAGGAAUAAGCUUCGGCUAACUCGGGGCCAGCGGCGGCGGUAUUAGGGAGGAUGCAAGCGUUAUCCGGAAUUAUUGGGCGUAAAGCGUCCGCAGGUGG
Molecule: ribosomal RNA, 488 nt
Filed under: uncultured bacterium
Lineage: Bacteria
Description: bacterial SSU rRNA
Rfam family: Bacterial small subunit ribosomal RNA
Source: RNAcentral